UUGGAGGUUGUGGCCUUGAGCCGUGGCUUUCGGAGCUAACGCGUUAAGUAGACCGCCUGGGGAGUACGGUCGCAAGAUUAAAACUCAAAUGAAUUGACGGGGGCCCGCACAAGCGGUGGAGCAUGUGGUUUAAUUCGAUGCAACGCGAAGAACCUUACCUACUCUUGACAUCCAGAGAACUUUCCAGAGAUGGAUUGGUGCCUUCGGGAACUCUGAGACAGGUGCUGCAUGGCUGUCGUCAGCUCGUGUCGUGAGAU
This 257-nucleotide ribosomal RNA is filed under the name Vibrio sp. a3s10. RNAcentral describes it as "partial 16S ribosomal RNA". It matches the Rfam family "Bacterial small subunit ribosomal RNA", at positions 817 to 1073 of the family's 1533-position model. Lineage: Bacteria; Pseudomonadati; Pseudomonadota; Gammaproteobacteria; Vibrionales; Vibrionaceae. RNAcentral also lists the same sequence under 1 other name. The record is from RNAcentral.